Molecule: ribosomal RNA, 229 nt
Filed under: uncultured bacterium
Lineage: Bacteria
Description: partial 16S ribosomal RNA
Rfam family: Bacterial small subunit ribosomal RNA
Source: RNAcentral
CGGGGUGAGUAAUGUAUGGGGAUCUGCCUGAUGGCGGGGGAUAACUACUGGAAACGGUAGCUAAUACCGCAUAAUGUCUACGGACCAAAGCGGGGGACCUCCGGGCCUCGCGCCAUCAGAUGAACCCAUAUGGGAUUAGCUAGUAGGUGAGGUAACGGCUUACCUAGGCGACGAUCCCUAGCUGGUCUGAGAGGAUGAUCAGCCACACUGGGACUGAGGCACGGCCCAG